UUUAAGGAGAGUUUGAUCCUGGCUCAGGAUGAACGCUGGCGGCGUGCCUAAUACAUGCAAGUCGAACGAGGUGCUUUUGUAGCAAUACGAGA
RNAcentral lists this ribosomal RNA (92 nucleotides) under Anaerolineales bacterium. RNAcentral describes it as "partial 16S ribosomal RNA". It matches the Rfam family "Bacterial small subunit ribosomal RNA", at positions 1 to 89 of the family's 1533-position model. The record is from RNAcentral. Lineage: Bacteria; Bacillati; Chloroflexota; Anaerolineae; Anaerolineales.